UGUGAGAGCGGGCUUGCUCGCGAAGGCGGUUUGUCAGUCAAUUGAUUCGUUGGCUGAUACACCGCCUUCGCGAGCAAGCCCGCUCCCACA
RNAcentral lists this unclassified non-coding RNA (90 nucleotides) under Pseudomonas brenneri. Lineage: Bacteria; Pseudomonadati; Pseudomonadota; Gammaproteobacteria; Pseudomonadales; Pseudomonadaceae. The record is from RNAcentral.